Molecule: long non-coding RNA, 130 nt
Organism: Pipistrellus kuhlii (Kuhl's pipistrelle)
Lineage: Eukaryota; Metazoa; Chordata; Mammalia; Chiroptera; Vespertilionidae
Exons: 3
Source: RefSeq, a predicted model, not a curated record
AGGGCAUGUACCUUGGUUGCAGGCUCCUCCCUGGCCCGGGCCCUGGUCAGGGCUAAUACAGGACGUAACUAAUUGAUGGGUUUCUCUCAUAUCGGUACUUCUCUGUCUUUCCUUCUCUCUUCCACUCUCU